GAUGAAGAACGUAGUGAAAUGCGAUACGUAAUGUGAAUUGCAGAAUUCAGUGAAUCAUCGAGUCUUUGAACGCACAUUGCGCCCCCUGGUAUUCCGGGGGGCAUGCCUGUCCGAGCGUCAUUGCUGCCCUCAAGCACGGCUUGUGUGUUGAGCCUCCGUCCUCCUCCCGGGGGACGGGCCCGAAAGGCAGCGGCGGCACCGCGUCCGGUCCUCGAGCGUAUGGGGCUUCGUCACCCGCUCUUGUAGGCCCGGCCGGCGCUUGCCGACACAUCAAUCUUUUUUCCAGGUUGACCUCGGAUCAGGUAGGGAUACCCGCUGAACUUAAGCAUAUCAAUAAGCGGAGGA
Molecule: unclassified non-coding RNA, 345 nt
Filed under: soil metagenome
Description: partial contains 5.8S ribosomal RNA, internal transcribed spacer 2, and large subunit ribosomal RNA
Rfam family: 5.8S ribosomal RNA (bases 1-120)
Source: RNAcentral